AGAACGAACGCUGGCGGCAUGCCUAACACAUGCAAGUCGAACGAGACCUUCGGGUCUAGUGGCGCACGGGUGCGUAACGCGUGGGAAUCUGCCCAAAGGUUCGGAAUAACUCAGGGAAACUUGAGCUAAAUACCGGAUGAUGUCGCAAGACCAAAGAUUUAUUGCCUUUGGAUGAGCCCGCGUAGGAUUAGCUUGUUGGUGAGGUAAAGGCUCACCAAGGCUACGAUCCUUAGCUGGUCUGAGAGGAUGAUCAGCCACACUGGGACUGAGACACGGCCCAGACUCCUACGGGAGGCAGCAGUGGGGAAUAUUGGACAAUGGGCGAAAGCCUGAUCCAGCAAUGCCGCGUGAGUGAUGAAGGCCUAGGGUUGUAAAGCUCUUUACCCGGGAAGAUAAUGACUGUACCGGGAGAAUAAGCCCGGCUAACUCCGCGCCAGCAGCCGC
RNAcentral lists this ribosomal RNA (444 nucleotides) under uncultured bacterium. RNAcentral's name for it is "SSU rRNA". It matches the Rfam family "Bacterial small subunit ribosomal RNA", at positions 26 to 518 of the family's 1533-position model. The record is from RNAcentral.